GCUCAUCUCUAACCCUUUAGGGAAAAGGUUUCAAGACUUGCAGUCCCCAGGAAGGGGAAAUCCCAGCUGGUGCCCUGGAGCAACGCUGGCGCUAGUGCCAACAAGUGGCGCGGACAGCUUUGGGACUCAGAUGGGGAAGAUUGACACGCGAGGGCAGACGGGCACUGCCUGUGGGCUGAGUGCUCGCCCCCUACCUCGGUGGCCAUAUUCCGGGGACGCUGACCGCUCUGAGCCUGCUGCGGGGCCGACCGAGGGAGGGCUGUCCGCGGUGCUGACUCGGGAAGCAGUAAGAGCGCCAGGAGCCGUGCACUCGCUACCGCGGCCUCCAGGGACUUCCAAACCCGGAGGAGAGAGAGGCAGGACGGUUCUGGGACAAGACACUCCAGCCUGCGGAGGCUGACGGUCCUCCAAGCUUUUGCAGGCCCCCAGGUUAGGAAGACAAAAGGAGACUGAGAAGAGUGGCUAGUGAAGCAGGAGGAGACCCAAGAGAGAGUGGUGUCCUGGAGCCAAGCAAGAAACCUGGUAACAGAACCUUACCAGCUGGGUUGAGUGCUGCUCACUUGUAGAAUAAGAUAAGGACUGAGAAAUGACCAUUGGACUCAGCAGCAAGAGGGUCACUGGUGACCUUGAUAAGAGCUGUUUUAGUGGAGUAUGGGGAGGAGAUCCUGAUUGAAGUGGGUUUGGGAAUUAGAAUGGAGGACAGGAAGUAGAGAUACUGAGAAUGUAAACAACUCUUUAGAAGUAUUUUGCUGCAAAGGGGAGCAAAGAGUAGCAUGGUGGCUUAAAGGAGAAGUGGGAGCAAGGGAGGCUCUUUUAAGAUGGGAGACAUUAGAGCUUGCUUGUUUGCUGAUAGGAAUAAUCCAGUAGAGAGAGAAACGUUGAUGGCUCAGAAAAGAGAGGGUUAAUCACAGAAGCAAGCCCUGGAGGGGUCAGCAGAGGAUGGGAUCCAAGGCAAAUGUGGAGGGGAUGGCUUUGGAGAGGAGCACAGACCAUUUUCUACCAUGGAUACAGUGGAAGAAGUAAUGAGUAAGGAGUAAACGGCCACAGAUGUGAGUAGGUUAGGAGGUUUUGCAGUAUAAGCAAAGAGCUGAGCUCUCUUCCUUACUCCACUUCAACUAGCCAGAGACGAUUCAUGCAUUAUGACCUUUCUCAACAAGUACAUUCAACCAUUAAGUAUGGAAAGCUUGCUAUGUGCCAAGCAUGGUGCUGGCACUUUCCUGUGUAGCCCAAAGACAGUUCUCUUUCCCAUUGAAAUUACAGCACUAGGACUCUACAGAGAACCUUGACAUCAUUCAGACAAGGAUGAACGAUCCCUGUUAAUAUCCAGCUCCUCUGACUGGAAAGAGACUUUAAUAGCCUCAGCCUUUUAUCACUACAUUACCUCCAGGCUUGUUAUAACAAUCUCAACAGACCUCAAGGCUUGGAGGCAUCAAAGUAGAGGCCAUGGAGAGAGAUCCAUAUUCGGAGUGGGGAGAGUUUCAUACUGUGCUGACUCAAGGCUGUGAUGGGAUGCUACGGAAUGGGAUGUUCCCACACUCCAGUCAUUGGGACUGUAACUCUGAGGCAGGAGAAGACGUUGAGGUUUAAUCUGACUAAUCAUUAUUACCCAGCUGCCUUGGGACAAACCAGUCCUAUGCAAGAGCCUAGGUCUUUGAUGUUUUUGUCAUAAAUUAAUGAGUUCGCCCACAAAAUAACAUCAAAGAAGAUCCACUAACUAAUUCACUGUUAU
This is a non-coding RNA of Ceratotherium simum simum (southern white rhinoceros), 1729 nucleotides long. The record is from RefSeq and is a predicted model, not a curated record. NCBI's taxonomy places the organism in Eukaryota, Metazoa, Chordata, Mammalia, Perissodactyla, Rhinocerotidae.